This 73-nucleotide transfer RNA is filed under the name Dermacentor andersoni. RNAcentral describes it as "transfer RNA serine (anticodon UGA)". It matches the Rfam family "tRNA". From Rfam's summary of the family: Transfer RNA (tRNA) molecules are approximately 80 nucleotides in length. Their secondary structure includes four short double-helical elements and three loops (D, anti-codon, and T loops). Lineage: Eukaryota; Metazoa; Arthropoda; Arachnida; Ixodida; Ixodidae. The record is from RNAcentral.
GCCGCGGUAGCUCAAUUGGAAGAGCAUCGCACGUGAAAUGCGAAGGUUGUGGGUUCGGUUCCCGCCUGCGGCA